AACGAACGCUGGCGGCAGGCUUAACACAUGCAAGUCGAACGCAUCCUUCGGGGUGAGUGGCAGACGGGUGAGUAACGCGUGGGAACGUGCCCUUCAGUUCGGGAUAACCCAGGGAAACUUGGGCUAAUACCGGAUACGUGCGAGAGCAGAAAGAUUUAUCGCUGAAGGAUCGGCCCGCGUCUGAUUAGCUAGUUGGUGGGGUAAUGGCCCACCAAGGCGACGAUCAGUAGCUGGUCUGAGAGGAUGAUCAGCCACAUUGGGACUGAGACACGGCCCAAACUCCUACGGGAGGCAGCAGUGGGGAAUAUUGGACAAUGGGCGCAAGCCUGAUCCAGCAAUGCCGCGUGAGUGAUGAAGGCCUUAGGGUUGUAAAGCUCUUUCGUACGGGACGAUAAUGACGGUACCGGAAGAAGAAGCCCCGGCUAACUUCGUGCCAGCCGCCGCGGUAA
This 449-nucleotide ribosomal RNA is filed under the name uncultured bacterium. RNAcentral's name for it is "partial 16S ribosomal RNA". It matches the Rfam family "Bacterial small subunit ribosomal RNA", at positions 29 to 523 of the family's 1533-position model. The record is from RNAcentral.